Ornithodoros turicata is the source of this 409-nucleotide long non-coding RNA. RefSeq lists it as uncharacterized. The record is from RefSeq and is a predicted model, not a curated record. NCBI's taxonomy places the organism in Eukaryota, Metazoa, Arthropoda, Arachnida, Ixodida, Argasidae. The transcript has 3 exons.
UUUUGUACGGUUUUGAUCUUUAUGAUUUCUUUUUCUUCUUUCCAACGUGGACACGAUCGAGAGUACACCGGGUGGUUGCCCUGGCAGUUGGCACAACGGUACUCAUUGCUGCAAGUCUCUGGCGAAUGGUCUUUGCCAGAGCACUUUGGGCAGGUGGAGUGUCCGCGGCAGACAAGCGAACUGUGCCCAAAAUGCUGGCACUUGAAACAACGUCUUGGGUUUGGAAUGUAUGGUCUGACAUUGCAACUGAGAGACCACGCCCUGCUCACUCAGUCCAUCUUCAAUCUCAGAUUCUGUGCAUUCCAGGAGUUCAUCUUCUGAUAUUACACCUUUGGUUAUGUUCAGUGUGCGGUGUACGUUAACACUUACAGUGCAGCAGGCGUGUCGCCCACCAUGGAGCCCAACUUAG